CUACUACUACUGCCCAUAAGUCAUGACAGGCAAAAAUCAAACAACUGAGAAGGACAGAAAACAACCCUCCCUAUUUGAAUUUACAAGGAAUUAGAAAUCUAAAUAAUCAACGGUCCAAAAGCAAAAGAAGGGAAUGCUGUGUGUCCAAAUCUCAUUGUUUGAUGGCCCCUUUAAGAUGCCAAAACUUUCUUUACAGGGAGAACGCUGCGGUCAUUGUUUGAAAAGCAGGAAACGACAUGUCGUGUAACCAAGAUGCGACGUAGAUGGUCUCCGAGCGGACAUUAAGGGCCCCGGUAUCGGCCAUUGCUUUUGUUUUUUUGGGCGUGAUGUGUGGCCACAUUCCACAAAUCAGCUACAGUAUGUGAGCUUUAUUAAUUGGGCCAUUCUGAAAGGCAAAGCCCUUCAACAAAAGUGUCCUUCCGAACCAUGUUUGACAUUUGCAGUCCCACAUCCAUCAUCUAUCUCAGGAACACUGGAAUAUAAUUUAUGUUCCUUUCUGAUAUAUGAACAUAUAAAGCCCAUACAUGUGUGAGUUGUACAAGUGUAGAUCCAGGAUCUUCCUGCCUUCAGAAAAGAAGUUGCCCUAAUCAUCUAGAUGAGGUAAAUACCCCCAAAUUUACAUGGCAAUGAGAAGAGUUCUGAGUUCAAACAAUGACUCCACUGAAAAAAGACAGCUGUAUGUACUCGCUAUUUAUGAUCUGCAUCAGAUUCUGCUGAAUGGGGUGGGAAGUUUAUAAAUAGGAUAGCGCUACUCAUCUAACUAAUCAGUUUAAUGGUGAGAAAUUAUCUCUAGAAUUGUAACUUUUCAAAUUUAAGUCUUGAUCUGAGCCAGCCAUUUGCAGGUACUCCCGGUUUUUAAAAUUUCUAUGGCUACUCAUAACGUAACUAUAACCAAAAAAUUGAUCUUAG
RNAcentral lists this unclassified non-coding RNA (909 nucleotides) under Hevea brasiliensis (rubber tree). The record is from RNAcentral. Lineage: Eukaryota; Viridiplantae; Streptophyta; Magnoliopsida; Malpighiales; Euphorbiaceae.